RNAcentral lists this ribosomal RNA (329 nucleotides) under uncultured eukaryote. Its description in RNAcentral is "partial 18S ribosomal RNA". It matches the Rfam family "Eukaryotic small subunit ribosomal RNA", at positions 1470 to 1796 of the family's 1831-position model. The record is from RNAcentral.
CCCUUAGAUGUCCUGGGCCGCACGCGCGCUACACUGAUGCAUUCAACGAGUCUAAAACCUGCUCUGAUAGGGGUGGGUAAUCUUUUGAAUGUGCAUCGUGAUUGGGAUAGAUGAUUGAAAUUUUUCAUCUUCAACGAGGAAUGCCUAGUAAACGCAAGUCAUCAGCUUGCAUUGAUUACGUCCCUGCCCUUUGUACACACCGCCCGUCGCUCCUACCGAUUGAAUGAUCCGAUGAAUAUCAUGGAUUGAGGAUGCAAGUAGGUUCACCUAUCUUCAUCUUCGAGAAGUGAAGUAAAUCUUAUCAUUUAGAGGAAGGAGAAGUCGUAACA